GGGAGUGUAGCUCAGUGGUAGAGCAUUCGACUGCAGAUCGUGAGAUCAGUGGUUCAACUCCGCUCGCUCCCU
Molecule: transfer RNA, 72 nt
Filed under: Dendronephthya gigantea
Lineage: Eukaryota; Metazoa; Cnidaria; Anthozoa; Malacalcyonacea; Nephtheidae
Description: tRNA-Cys
Rfam family: tRNA
About the family: Transfer RNA (tRNA) molecules are approximately 80 nucleotides in length. Their secondary structure includes four short double-helical elements and three loops (D, anti-codon, and T loops).
Source: RNAcentral